Molecule: unclassified non-coding RNA, 117 nt
Organism: Callithrix jacchus (white-tufted-ear marmoset)
Lineage: Eukaryota; Metazoa; Chordata; Mammalia; Primates; Cebidae
Rfam family: Metazoan signal recognition particle RNA
About the family: The signal recognition particle (SRP) is a universally conserved ribonucleoprotein. It is involved in the co-translational targeting of proteins to membranes.
Source: Ensembl
GCUGGGUGUGGUGGCUCAUGCCUGUAAUCCCGGCACUUUGGGAGGCUGAGGCAGGUGGAUCACCUGAGGUCAGGAGUCUGAGACCAGCCUGGCCAACAUGGUGAAACCCUGUCUCUA